Molecule: ribosomal RNA, 404 nt
Filed under: Pitho mirabilis
Lineage: Eukaryota; Metazoa; Arthropoda; Malacostraca; Decapoda; Mithracidae
Description: partial 16S ribosomal RNA
Rfam family: Archaeal large subunit ribosomal RNA
Source: RNAcentral
CAUAAUCAUUAGUUUUUUAAUUGAAAACUUGUAUGAAUGGUUGAACAAAAGAAUUACUGUCUUUUUUUAAUAGUUUGAAUUUAACUUCUGAGUGAAAAGGCUUAGAUUUGUUAAGGGGACGAUAAGACCCUAUAAAGCUUUAUCAAUGAUUAAAAUCUUCUAGAGUUAAUAAUAAAUAAAGAUUUUUAUUAUUUAUUUUGUUGGGGCGACAUAGAUAUAAAUAAGCAUAACUGUUAAUGAAAUAAACAAUGUCUUUGAGUAGUAAUUGAUCCUUGAUUUAAGAUUAAAAGACAAAGUUACUUUAGGGAUAACAGCGUUAUUCUUUUUGAGAGUUCUAAUCGAAAAAAGAGUUUGCGACCUCGAUGUUGAAUCAUAAAAUCUUUACAGUGAAGCCGUUGUAAGAG